GUUCCAGGUACUAGACCAUCAUUAUCCAUUAUUUAAAAAUGCAUAUCAAAAAUGCAAACUACUCGACUUUAGAUAUUGCUUUUACUUACCUAAAAGGCAACUAGAAUCUUUUUCCUGCCAAUUCAUGGAUCUAGAGAUAAUAUCAGAAUGAUUUUUUUUCAAGGACUAUGGAUACUGAAUAUAAAUUUUUUUCCUAUUCCUUUCUCCCGUUCUAGCCAGAGUAAUAAUGUUAGGUCAUAGCUUCAUUUAUCCCCCCACACCUCCCUCUCCUCCUCCAACCAAGGAUUGAAUCCGGGGGCACUUAACCACUGAGCCACAUCCCCAACCUGUUUUAUUUUUUAUUUUUAGACAGGGUCUUACUAAGUUGCUGAAGUUGGCGUUGGCUUUGGCUUUGAACUUGCAAUCCUCCUGCCUUAACCUCCUGAGUCGUUGGGUUACAGGUGUGCACCACCGCACUUCUCUUAAUACAUGUUUUGAGGCCUUGUGCUAUGUAAACAUGUGAAGAAUUGAGGCGAUUCAUCUCAGAGCCCUGGAGAUAACUGCACCCCUGAUCUCCUGAAGCAUGUGUUCAAAUUGGAGAUACAUGAACAAACACACAGGGUAAUUUCAGCCAGCAAUGAGAACUAUGGACAAUUCAAAGCAGGAAAAACUUAUUUAGAGGUUGGGAAGGGCUACUUCAGCUAGGUGGUUCAAGAAAGCAGCCUUCCCAAGAGGGAGCUUGGGACUGCAGCCUAAAAGGUAGAGGGAUACUGCAGGAAAGGAAGCAGCAAGAGCAGAGAUUCUGAGUCAAAAAUAGGAAUGCUGUGAUGGAGUGAUAGAAAUAGGACUGGUGUGCCUGGGUUAUGACAGAGAGGAAAGAAGGGUGUGUAGGGAGGGGAGAGAAAGAGACAUGAGAAGAUGGUGAAAAGGUGGGCAGAAAUCAGUUCCAUUUUUUAUCCCAAAUGUAGCAAUGCAUUACAACCAUCUCAAUAAGUGUGCAAACCUGAUCCCUAAUACCUGUAUUCAAUAAAUAGUGUCAAGACAGUGGAGAGAGAUAGAGGGGAUACUCUUCAAAAAUGACAAUAGUUCCAUCAGUUCCUUGGCAUCCCACAAAGAAGCUUACUACACCCCCCUGUUGUUGAUUGUCCCCAAGAUGGUCACAGACCAGCUUGUCACUCCUCUGACAUGACAGCAUAAGGAUUGUCUGCUACCCUUAAACCCUGAUGUUAUCCAAUGCCAUUUUCCACAUCUCUGUCACAUUACUGGUCCUAAACAUCAUAGGUUUAGGGCAAUCUGAGGUGAUAAAAAAGCUUAGUUAUGACCAUGUCACUCAUGGUCUGGGGGUUACCUAUACACAUCACCUGGAAAUGAGACACUGGACUCCUCUGCAAUUAGAUCCCCCCAGACCCAGCCACAGAUUCUGUUCCUUAACCUGGAAAACAGACAGGGAUUAGAUUAAGCACAGGAAACUCUUAGUUCUCAAAAAUCAACAAAAUCAGUUUUCCACCUCCUCUUCUUCUCUAUCUUUGCUGUGCUGAGACACCUGUGUAAUCUUAAUGAGAUGCAUUGCACUUGUAUCAAACCUUCCACAGAAUGUAUUGUGUGGUCUUUUCCCAGGACUCACAUCCAUUUCUAUGGUCUGAAUUGUAAAAAACAAUAGCCAAGUAAAAAUUCCAGUGUUCAGCUCUUCCUGUUGUAUUAUUUUUUCCUUGAGUAGAUAAAUGCCUAGGAAGUCAUGCUGCAAUAAAGCCAAAAAUUACAAGAACACAUUGGAGGAAAACAUAUUAAUAUUUCAAAAUAGUACACUAUCAUAGAGCUAUAUAGACGGCCAUCCCUCCAAAGGGGACCAUUGAUGAAUGUCCCAAUUUGAAAGGAUAUAUUAAUGUUUUUCAAUAUCUACUCUUUGAAAAACAGCAGUAAUUUUAUUCUUAUAGACAGAGAUACAAAAAACAGAAAGUAAGAAAUAAAGGAGAUAGCAACAUCUCUAAAGCAAUUUGUAGAAAUGUGGUGAGGUCACAUUUUCAGAAAAUCCACUCUGUGCCCCAUAUUCAACUCACAAUAUGUUUUGGGCAAUAGAAUGUUAUCCUCCUAUGCAGAGUUAAUAAC
RNAcentral lists this long non-coding RNA (2085 nucleotides) under Marmota monax (woodchuck). Lineage: Eukaryota; Metazoa; Chordata; Mammalia; Rodentia; Sciuridae. The record is from RNAcentral.